UUUAAAUUGAGAGUUUGAUCCUGGCUCAGGACGAACGCUGGCGGCGUGCCUAACACAUGCAAGU
Molecule: ribosomal RNA, 64 nt
Filed under: Clostridium argentinense
Lineage: Bacteria; Bacillati; Bacillota; Clostridia; Eubacteriales; Clostridiaceae
Description: partial 16S ribosomal RNA
Rfam family: Bacterial small subunit ribosomal RNA
Source: RNAcentral